Small nucleolar RNA from Panicum virgatum (switchgrass), 106 nucleotides. NCBI's taxonomy places the organism in Eukaryota, Viridiplantae, Streptophyta, Magnoliopsida, Poales, Poaceae. The record is from RefSeq and is a predicted model, not a curated record.
AUCCCAUGGUGCGGACGCGCAUGGAUGUACUCCUAAAGUCUCUCCCAAGCAUCAGGAAUUGACUCAUUUGAUGCCUGCUGAAAGCUCAAAAUUUUUCCAUGAAGAU